GAAUGUUAGAGUUUGCGAACCACAGUUCUCACCCAGGUGGAGCUUAGCUCCCUUUACAGGAAGUUUCGUGUGAAACUUAGCUUCCUUUGGGCUGUUCCUGCCUGAGAAAUAUGGUAGGAGCAGCAAGAAAUUUUCCCAGCCACUAAUGCCUAAAGUAUUUGUUCACUGAAGCUCUGCAUGUUUUAAGUGAUGGAAAGACUCAUCUAAUCCCCAUGUUGGGUGCACCUGCUUAGAUCUGAGGAAGCCCCAGCCAAAGAAACUGAGAGGAGAGACCAGAGAAAGGAGGAGGACCAGGAGCCUGUGGUGUCAGAGGCUGGGUGAAGAGCAUUUUCAGCCUAGGAGGAAGCUGACUAGGUCUUGUACUGGACAUGGAGGACACACGAUCACUUCAAAGAGACAUCACAGGCCUCCAUUUGCCCUCUUGCCUUGGCAAGUAUAAGCAACUGUCUUGGAUUGGACUCUCUGCCUUUCAUAGGACAUCUAGGGCUUUAAUUGGUGACCCCUAGAGACAUAGCACCUUAACCCAAGGAAGAGCUGCCCUAAUCAGAGCAAGGCAACUGCUGUGGCAGGCCAGCACUGCUCCAGGUGCAGGAGAAAUUGGAAUGAACUGAAAUGACAAAAACCGUGCCCCCAUGCUCUGUACACUCUACUGGGGAAAACAAGCAUUAAACAAGUGGAAUACUGAAUAGUAUCGGAAGUUUGCAAACUACGGCUACAACCACAUGGAUGAAUCUCACAAAUGCGAUGUUCAGUGAAACAAGCCGGACGUAAAGAUUUUCCUCAAAACAUGGAACGUCAUAAAAUCAGGAAAAUCUUAAGUGUCUAUGGUGUUAGAAGUCAGGACAAGAGUUACCUUUGGAGAAGAGGGAAUGAGUAGAUGUAGGGAGGGCACAAGAAGGGCUUCUGGGUUGCUGGUAGUGUGUGUGUGUGUUUACACCUCAAUGAUGGUUAUACAAAUAAAAAAUACAUAUACAUUUUGGAUAAUUCACUGAGCUGCACACCUACGAUUUGUGCGAUUUUUUGGUCUGUGUAUUUCACUUCAAUUAAAAACCAAGACUGCCGCCUUGUUCCCGUCCCGGGCCAGUUAAAUCAGAAUCCCUCAGGAGAGCGUCCAGGGUUGAGAAUACCGCGCUCUGCCUUCGCUGGUGCUGUUCGCUCUAGGAGGGAAGACCUAGGGCUGUGUGUCUGGGAGCUGACCUAGUGCCUCAGAGAGGUGGUGGGGACAGGGCUGUCUCGUGGAGAGAAGGCUGGAGGUUCCUGUGCGCAGGUGGCAGAUAGCAAAAAUGUCCCCUGAGGUCACACCUCUGAGGGUGAGGACGAGGCUCGGCACCUGGGGUAGUGACUAAAGACUACCAACAGGGACACUGGCCUCCAGGGACUGCCUGUAGUCACCCUCCCUUGAGAAGUGACUCUUGAAUUUAAUUUCAAGUUCACCAAUCGUUUGCUGCAGCCUUUAGUUAUUUUUAUUUGCCAGACAUUUUGUGAAGAUUUUCACCUCUUCAUUGGUGUUUUUGUGUUUUACUUUAGUGACUUAGUUCUUGUUGUCUUAAUUCUUUUCUGUCUUCUUUCUAAUAUAUAACCUCUCAGUCCACCAGUGAUCCAGCCACAUCCAAUGGCUGGCCCCUCACCUGCCAGGAGGUUGGGGCUUGUUUUCUAACUCUCGGCCCACACAGGGGGUUGGAGGGGACAAGCAAAUGCUAGUGCACGGCACUCUUUUUUAUUUUUUUAAAGAUUGGCACCUGUGCUAACAUCUGUUGCCAAUCUUUUUUUUUUCUUCUUCCUCUUCUCCCCAAAG
Molecule: long non-coding RNA, 1795 nt
Organism: Equus caballus (horse)
Lineage: Eukaryota; Metazoa; Chordata; Mammalia; Perissodactyla; Equidae
Source: Ensembl